AAUCCAUGGUGAGGGCACCUUCUCAAUAGAUCUUUGUAUCUCUCCCAUGCAUCAUAAAGUGUUUCUAAAUCCAUCUGCACAAAAGAAGAGAUAUCAUUCUGUAAUU
This is a non-coding RNA of Gossypium hirsutum (cotton), 106 nucleotides long. The record is from Rfam. NCBI's taxonomy places the organism in Eukaryota, Viridiplantae, Streptophyta, Magnoliopsida, Malvales, Malvaceae.